AGCGAGAAAGCCUUCGGGUGAGUAUAGCGGCGGACGGGUGAGUAAUGCGUGGGAAUCUGCCUGGUAGUGGGGGACAACAGUUGGAAACGACUGCUAAUACCGCAUACGCCCUACGGGGGAAAGCGGGGGAUCUUCGGACCUCGUGCUAUCAGAUGAGCCCACGUCAGAUUAGCUAGUUGGUGGGGUAAAGGCCUACCAAGGCGACGAUCUGUAGCUGGUCUGAGAGGAUGAUCAGCCACACUGGGACUGAGACACGGCCCAGACUCCUACGGGAGGCAGCAGUGGGGAAUAUUGCACAAUGGGCGCAAGCCUGAUGCAGCCAUGCCGCGUGUGUGAAGAAGGCCCUAGGGUUGUAAAGCACUUUAAGCAGUGAGGAAAGGGUGUAAAUUAAUACUUUGCAUCUGUGACGUUAACUGCAGAAUAAGCACCGGCUAACUCCGUGCCAGCAGCCGCGGUAAUACGGAGGGUGCGAGCGUUAAUCGGAAUUACUGGGCGUAAAGCGCACGUAGGCGGCUUUUUAAGCGAGGUGUGAAAGCCCCGGGCUCAACCUGGGAACUGCACUUCGAACUGGAAAGCUAGAGUAUGGUAGAGGAUAGUGGAAUUUCAGGUGUAGCGGUGAAAUGCGUAGAGAUCUGAAGGAACA
RNAcentral lists this ribosomal RNA (643 nucleotides) under Agaribacterium haliotis. RNAcentral's name for it is "bacterial SSU rRNA". It matches the Rfam family "Bacterial small subunit ribosomal RNA", at positions 65 to 708 of the family's 1533-position model. The record is from RNAcentral. Lineage: Bacteria; Pseudomonadati; Pseudomonadota; Gammaproteobacteria; Cellvibrionales; Cellvibrionaceae.